This is a long non-coding RNA of Gasterosteus aculeatus aculeatus (three-spined stickleback), 3472 nucleotides long. The record is from Ensembl. Lineage: Eukaryota; Metazoa; Chordata; Actinopteri; Perciformes; Gasterosteidae.
UAUAUAUUGCAAUAUAUAUGUUCCGCAGUGGAGGUGGCUGGAUUGCAGCGGAUGCGUGACGCGUGAUGUGCAAAUACGCAGCAAAUGAUCGAAUGGCUUCAUCUCAUUAUCCGUCCACACAAAGAAAACAUAUGCAUUAUAAGACUGCACGGAGUUGAGGCUUCAUGGCCUCAGCAGGUCACACCACAGUUGAUACAAACAAAGAUUAAGAUUAAUAUUUCGCCUUUGAGAUCCAAUAAUCAAGAGGAAAAAAACUGUGCGCUUAAAGCCACCUCCACAUGUCUGGCAUCAUGAGUAGCCUGCCAGCAGCCACACCGUGAACCCAAUGCAGACAUUUUAGACACGACAAACGGGGCUGUCGUUGACUCUAAAAGCACAUUUUUGUCCUUUUUCCUUUCUUUUUAAACCGUGAUGCACACAAAGCUCGUUCUACUGCAUUUUUAAUCUGGUUAUUUUUGGCAAAGCGAGUCAUGGUGAUGGUGGCUGGAGAUGACGAUAAUUGAAAUGGUGGUGGUGGUGGUGAAGAUGAUGAUGAUGAUGAUGAUGAUGAUUGGGAGGAGGAGGAAUAACAAUGAGGGGGCAACAGCCGCCUCCGCGUUGACCAGAAAGGAAAAGGAAAGUCCAUGUGACAAAACAUUCAACUCCCACACAAAAAAACACAAGCGCUCUCAUGUCGGUAAACUGUUUUUUUUUAACUUCAUUGAUAACACGUGCCUAAAUACAAAUCGUAUGUUGUUGACCAAGCAAAAAACUGAAAUCCCUGUUUUGCAUAUUAGUAUUCACAAUUUUAUUUGGGCUGAACCGUGAAAAUACUUAUUUCUACAAUAUUAUAAUAUAUAAAAUACAAUAAUAAUUCUCAGAUUUGAUCAUCAGGAAAGCUAACAGAUUUUCUUUAUUUUUCUUCAGAAGAAAAAGUAAAGUAAUGCCGGAUAAGUUUCCACCUACCAGCAGUUCAGCCGUAGCAGCGGGGAGCUUCCCCUCCGCGUCGCGUCACACGUUGCGAGAAUUCCCCGCUUCCACGCGCACCGCCCCGCGCUCUCCUUUUUAUUCUUGUUGUUCUGUUGUGUGUGAGUUUGUUGUCUGGCGUAAAGUGCUGUCGCAGUAGCUGUUGCUCUUGUUAUUGUGUUGUUGUUGUUGUUGUUGUUGUCUCCUACUUCUCUCCCGGGAUUCCGCUCCUUUGGCUCCGUCGGAUUUCAGGACCACUGACAGCGGCAGCGGUUCUCUUAUACCGCUCGUGCCCCCCCCUCUCUCCUUGACCACGUGAUCCGUGCGUCAAGCGAUUCCCAUUGACGUCACCAGACCGGGUUUCAUUCAUAAGAUUUUUUGGUCGAACCAAUUAGCUGCAGUGCUGUUCUCUGCUGAAUGAACAGAGACUGGUGAAUGAAUUCGCAGUUUUUUGGCGCUCAGUGUGUCCGCAUGCAGGGCCGGACCCCGCCUCUCACCCAGAGAUGUCAAAUAAUACACAUUUAGGAAUGAAAAUAUGCACAGAUAACGCUUUUUGUUAAAUAUUAGGGCUUGAUCAUUUUUGUUUGGUUUCACGUUGGGGCUUCAUGUCACUCGUUCACACUCAUGUAUGCAUGUAUGACAGGAGCAAACUAGGGUGUGAGAACCCAGAGGAGUUGGGGGAUUUGAGGUCUUAUUUUUCCUUUAUGGCCCCCUUAUCUUUAUUAUUCAAUGUACCUUUUGCCACCCUACUACUUAAUGUAAAUAAGUAGUAGGGUGCCUCUCAGUUUAUGACACCUUGUUUAUAGCUGAAGAUGUGCUGAAGAUGUAUCCCCUGUGUAUAUUACUGUUUAUUAAUUGUUUCAGUCUACCGCAAAUUCUAAUUAUAACAAUAUGUUAUUUCAUGUACAUUUAUAUGUUUUAACCUCUGCACCGUUAUUUCUUAUCUGUCUGGAGCCUCAGAAGAACUUAAAGACUGCUCCACUCUAACUGUUGUGCACAAAACGGAUAAAGAACUGGAACUCUUGAUGCAUGCUCGUCCACGACAAAUAUAUGCAUUAUUUCAACAGAGCUGACAACGGUCAACAAAUGUAACAUGUGAUAACUUAAACCAUUCUAUCAACCUUCCAUUUAUUUGCUGCUGCGGCUGCAGCCCCACCUGCUGCUCAUACCUGCUUCAGUGAGGAAUAUAAAACCGAUUUCAAACUUUAAGCUUCAUCCUACUUUAUAUCGUUGCUAUAACACUUAAUAAUAUAAUAGUAUUGUUUUUUUAAUUAUGUCAUUCAAGUAUGCCGGUUUUCAUUUUCCACAAUAUGCAACAACUGAUUUAAAGCGUGUUGGUUUGCAAGUACUCUCAUCAUUUACUUCAUUAAAAGUACCUUUAGCACGUGUUACAUUCUCACUAAAGGUCCUGAAAAAGAAAAGUACCUAAAUAUUAUCAGAAUACCAGUAGAGAUGUACUAAUGGUAAUUUAUUACUGAUGCAGUUUUUCACAUAUAGUGUUUCAUUGAAAGUCAUUUUAACAACUACAUUUACCGUUAGGUGUCAUAUACGAUCACCCUGACCAUGUAUAAAACCUUGAUCUACAUAGUUGUCAGAGUCCAACAGUAAGAGGUUUACUGUGUACAAAGUAUGUACAGUAUAUAUGUACCUCAAAAAAAUUGUUGGUGGCCAAAAGGAAGUGAAAAUCUUCGUUGACUUGUUAAUUCAGCCCUUCAUAUUCAAAGGUGUUGUUGCUUUACCUCACUUCCUCUUUCGUAUCUGACAAACACUAGUGAUGAUUGUAAGUAAAUAUGUCCAUUUGGAUUAUAUUCUCAAUAUUCAGGUAAAUGCAGCUCCCAAGUAGCUGGGAUUAUUUUGGAAAGCACUGUUAUUUAUUAUUUGUCAAGCUCUUUUGAUCUACGUGUAAAACCAGCAGAAUACACAGAAACACUUGUAGCAGCACAGGCGGUUACAAAACAUCCAGAUACACUUAAGUUUAGCUCAAAACUGUUUAUUCUUUAUAAAAUUACAUUCACACACCAAGUCCCUUUAGUCUUUGCCUGGAUCACAGAUUAAAUGUAUUAUUCUUAUUCUCUUCCUACAAAGAACAAAACUACUUUCAGUGAGAGAUUUCCAUCAAAACCCUCUUUCUUUCACAUAAAGAAAUAAAUGUACAAGAUGAUAACCAAAUUGAUAAAGUCCUUGCAUAUGAUGGCUGAUUGACCAAAAGAAAAAUCUCACCCAAUGGAGAAGAACAAAAAACACAACUUAAUUCCACACACCAUUCAAAGAACGUCUCUCUGUAGGGCAGCAGAGGUCAGGCUCAAAACUCAACAAGUAAAACAGUGGGGCUGUCCUCACAUGUACAGGAGAACGUUAGGCUUCAAACACACACGUCAGAACAUCAGGAACCUGCAUUCUGAUGGAGAGAUUCAUUUCACGUGUAUACAGUGAACCUUCAGAGAGACGCCAUCUAAAAGUGACAGCUGUUAUUGCAUCGCGACUUCAAAGAAACUGGUCAUAUUGUAGGCCAACCAGGAACAUUUAC